Lysobacter gummosus is the source of this 97-nucleotide non-coding RNA. The record is from Rfam. Lineage: Bacteria; Pseudomonadati; Pseudomonadota; Gammaproteobacteria; Lysobacterales; Lysobacteraceae.
CGUUGGCGCCUCCGCGACGAUAAGUUGAAAAUCCCGCCAGGGCCGGAAGGCAGCAACGGUAUCGACUGAUUCGGGCGCCGGAGUCACGCUUGCGGGG